RNAcentral lists this ribosomal RNA (1763 nucleotides) under Escherichia coli. RNAcentral's name for it is "partial 23S ribosomal RNA". It matches the Rfam family "Bacterial large subunit ribosomal RNA", at positions 81 to 1869 of the family's 2925-position model. The record is from RNAcentral. Lineage: Bacteria; Pseudomonadati; Pseudomonadota; Gammaproteobacteria; Enterobacterales; Enterobacteriaceae.
GUAAGGUGAUAUGAACCGUUAUAACCGGCGAUUUCCGAAUGGGGAAACCCAGUGUGAUUCGUCACACUAUCAUUAACUGAAUCCAUAGGUUAAUGAGGCGAACCGGGGGAACUGAAACAUCUAAGUACCCCGAGGAAAAGAAAUCAACCGAGAUUCCCCCAGUAGCGGCGAGCGAACGGGGAGGAGCCCAGAGCCUGAAUCAGUGUGUGUGUUAGUGGAAGCGUCUGGAAAGGCGCGCGAUACAGGGUGACAGCCCCGUACACAAAAAUGCACAUGCUGUGAGCUCGAUGAGUAGGGCGGGACACGUGGUAUCCUGUCUGAAUAUGGGGGGACCAUCCUCCAAGGCUAAAUACUCCUGACUGACCGAUAGUGAACCAGUACCGUGAGGGAAAGGCGAAAAGAACCCCGGCGAGGGGAGUGAAAAAGAACCUGAAACCGUGUACGUACAAGCAGUGGGAGCACGCUUAGGCGUGUGACUGCGUACCUUUUGUAUAAUGGGUCAGCGACUUAUAUUCUGUAGCAAGGUUAACCGAAUAGGGGAGCCGAAGGGAAACCGAGUCUUAACUGGGCGUUAAGUUGCAGGGUAUAGACCCGAAACCCGGUGAUCUAGCCAUGGGCAGGUUGAAGGUUGGGUAACACUAACUGGAGGACCGAACCGACUAAUGUUGAAAAAUUAGCGGAUGACUUGUGGCUGGGGGUGAAAGGCCAAUCAAACCGGGAGAUAGCUGGUUCUCCCCGAAAGCUAUUUAGGUAGCGCCUCGUGAAUUCAUCUCCGGGGGUAGAGCACUGUUUCGGCAAGGGGGUCAUCCCGACUUACCAACCCGAUGCAAACUGCGAAUACCGGAGAAUGUUAUCACGGGAGACACACGGCGGGUGCUAACGUCCGUCGUGAAGAGGGAAACAACCCAGACCGCCAGCUAAGGUCCCAAAGUCAUGGUUAAGUGGGAAACGAUGUGGGAAGGCCCAGACAGCCAGGAUGUUGGCUUAGAAGCAGCCAUCAUUUAAAGAAAGCGUAAUAGCUCACUGGUCGAGUCGGCCUGCGCGGAAGAUGUAACGGGGCUAAACCAUGCACCGAAGCUGCGGCAGCGACGCUUAUGCGUUGUUGGGUAGGGGAGCGUUCUGUAAGCCUGCGAAGGUGUGCUGUGAGGCAUGCUGGAGGUAUCAGAAGUGCGAAUGCUGACAUAAGUAACGAUAAAGCGGGUGAAAAGCCCGCUCGCCGGAAGACCAAGGGUUCCUGUCCAACGUUAAUCGGGGCAGGGUGAGUCGACCCCUAAGGCGAGGCCGAAAGGCGUAGUCGAUGGGAAACAGGUUAAUAUUCCUGUACUUGGUGUUACUGCGAAGGGGGGACGGAGAAGGCUAUGUUGGCCGGGCGACGGUUGUCCCGGUUUAAGCGUGUAGGCUGGUUUUCCAGGCAAAUCCGGAAAAUCAAGGCUGAGGCGUGAUGACGAGGCACUACGGUGCUGAAGCAACAAAUGCCCUGCUUCCAGGAAAAGCCUCUAAGCAUCAGGUAACAUCAAAUCGUACCCCAAACCGACACAGGUGGUCAGGUAGAGAAUACCAAGGCGCUUGAGAGAACUCGGGUGAAGGAACUAGGCAAAAUGGUGCCGUAACUUCGGGAGAAGGCACGCUGAUAUGUAGGUGAAGUCCCUCGCGGAUGGAGCUGAAAUCAGUCGAAGAUACCAGCUGGCUGCAACUGUUUAUUAAAAACACAGCACUGUGCAAACACGAAAGUGGACGUAUACGGUGUGACGCCUGCCCGGUGC